This 494-nucleotide ribosomal RNA is filed under the name uncultured bacterium. RNAcentral's name for it is "partial 16S ribosomal RNA". It matches the Rfam family "Bacterial small subunit ribosomal RNA", at positions 28 to 507 of the family's 1533-position model. The record is from RNAcentral.
GACGAACGCUGGCGGCGUGCUUAACACAUGCAAGUCGAACGGAAAGGCCUGCUUUCCCUUGUGGAUUGCGGGUACUCGAGUGGCGAACGGGUGAGUAACACGUGAGUGAUCUGCCCCCAACUUGGGUAUAAGCCUGGGAAACUGGGUCUAAUUCCCGAUAGGACUGCAGGGUGGUGCCUGUGGUGGAAAACGAUUUUCUAGUGGUUGGGGAUGAGCUCGCGGCCUAUCAGCUUGUUGGUGGGGUAAUGGCCUACCAAGGCGGCGACGGGUAGCCGGCCUGAGAGGGUGGACGGCCACAUUGGGACUGAGAGACGGCCCAGACUCCUACGGGAGGCAGCAGUGGGGAAUAUUGCACAAUGGGCGGAAGCCUGAUGCAGCGACGCCGCGUGGGGGAUGACGGCCUUCGGGUUGUAAACUCCUUUCGACCGCGAGGAAGCCACCUGGUUGGAAGGGUGGUGACGGUAGUGGUAGAAGAAGCACCGGCUAACUACGUG